ACUGUAUCUUCCCUCUAAUUUAGCCAUAUAAAUUGCUAGUUGAAUUUAACGCAGUGAUGUGAUGUGUGCAGUCGAAUUUAAGCAUUUUAUAUUGUAAKCAACCUGGGAAAACSGAGCAACCACGGCGAGAGCGGCAACACUGGUAGGCGGGGCACACCCAGGAGGGGGUGGCAACAUMGGGACUACUUCACGGCUGACAGGAGACGGCGCGGCGGUACUUCCGGGCAACAACACAGAACAUCCGUGGGGUUGCCAGGGGAGAUGGAUUAUUAUUGAUUUGAUAAUGACGGUGCAAGGCGUUCAUUAAAAUUAUUGAAUUUUUCAUCGAUCGUAUUCUUCCUUAAAUUUAACCAUAACAAUAUUGAAAAGAAACUUUAUUAUUCGUCAGCAUUUCUUCAUCACUCUUCGUCCUAAAAAACAUGACAUACUGCAUGAAAUGAAGUUAAUUGACGCAAAAAUUCAAUAAUGUACAAAAACAUUAACACCUUGCACUUUAACCGACAAGUUUCAUCAGCCGUGAUACGUUGUGACAAUCAACUUUUUUGGGUCAUGGCUAAAUUAAACAGUAGAAGUUGUCAAUUUUAAAGCUGGAGCUUCUAAACUAUAAUGGAUCAGUUAAGACAUCGAUUACUUGUGAUAAUACGUGGUGAUAAAGGCAAAAAUAUAACAUCAACUUCACUACAUUGAAUUAGAAAAAAAAACUGUAAUUUUUCAUUAAAAGAACACACAAGUCGCAAAAUACUGAAUCAAUACUUUGAAGCAAAUCUUCUAUAUUCGAUAAACAAUUUAAAUUCAAUCCUCAAAUAAACACAGUGAAUUCA
This is a long non-coding RNA of Dendroctonus ponderosae (mountain pine beetle), 821 nucleotides long. RefSeq lists it as uncharacterized. NCBI's taxonomy places the organism in Eukaryota, Metazoa, Arthropoda, Insecta, Coleoptera, Curculionidae. The transcript is spliced from 2 exons. The record is from RefSeq and is a predicted model, not a curated record.